RNAcentral lists this transfer RNA (82 nucleotides) under Homo sapiens (human). RNAcentral describes it as "tRNA-Leu (AAG) 8-1 (TRL-AAG8-1)". The record is from RNAcentral. Lineage: Eukaryota; Metazoa; Chordata; Mammalia; Primates; Hominidae.
GGUAGCAUGGCUGAGUGGUCUAAGAUUCUGAAUUAAGUCUCCAGUCUCUUUGGGGGCGUGGUUUUCAAUCCCACCGCUGCUA